This 695-nucleotide unclassified non-coding RNA is filed under the name Melitaea cinxia (Glanville fritillary). RNAcentral describes it as "misc RNA ENSMCXG00005020616.1". The record is from RNAcentral. Lineage: Eukaryota; Metazoa; Arthropoda; Insecta; Lepidoptera; Nymphalidae.
GUUCUCAAUUCGAUUGUAUUUUUUUUUUUUUUUUUUUUUUUUAACCGACUUCCAAAAAAGACCUACGUUGUAUUAUACCGCAUAACUUUCUACUGGAUGUACCAAUUUUGAUAAUUCUUUUUUUGUUGGAAAGGGGAUAUCCCUAGUUUAGUACCGUGAUAAGGAAACCAGGAUCUGAUGAUGGGAUCCCAGAGAAAUCGAGGGAAACUCUCGAAAAUCCGUAAUAACUUUUUACUGGGUGUACCGAUUUUGAUAAUUUUUAAUUUAAUCGAAAGCUGAUGUUUAUCAUGUGGUUACAUAUAAAUUUUAUCGAGAUCUGAUGACUACUUUUUGAGUAAUCUUUGAUAACGCGUAGUUGCUUGACUAUGUUUUCGUCGAUCUACGUUGUAUUACUUGUCGAUGUAAUUGAAGUCGGUUUUUUUUUCGUUUGCGAGCAAACACAAUUAUUUUAUGUAUGUUACAUCAGAACUUUUGACCGGGUAGACCGAUUUCGACAAAUUUUGUUUUAAUCGAAAGGUGGUGUGUGCCAAUCGGUCCCAUUUAAAUUUAUUUGAGAUCUAACAACUGCUUUUCGAGCUAUAUCUAAUAACGCGUUUUUACUUGACGCUUUUUUCGUCGACCUACGUUGUAUUAUACCACAUAACUUUCUACUGGAUGUACCGAUUUCGAUAAUGCUUUUUUGUAUGAAAGAAGAU